Molecule: long non-coding RNA, 212 nt
Filed under: Homo sapiens (human)
Lineage: Eukaryota; Metazoa; Chordata; Mammalia; Primates; Hominidae
Description: HSALNT0181046
Source: RNAcentral
UGCAGAGCAGGACUAAUUCUGUGUUCUGCACUGGGUGAGGCAGGUGCAGUUGCCACCUGGGCUUCGAUCUGGGUCCCAGAGGAGUUAGUUCAUAUCUUGGGGCCAUCUUGCAACUGCAAUCCCAUUUUGAAGCCAGGUAGCAGAGUUUGUGCUCAUAGUCAUUUAUUCUUUUUAACUGUUUCUGUCUUUUAUUCUCCUUCUGUGUUUUCCAG